UGGGGAAUUUUGGACAAUGGGCGCAAGCCUGAUCCAGCCAUGCCGCGUGCGGGAAGAAGGCCUUCGGGUUGUAAACCGCUUUUGUCAGGGAAGAAAUCUUCUGAGUUAAUACCUCGGGAGGAUGACGGUACCUGAAGAAUAAGCACCGGCUAACUACGUGCCAGCAGCCGCGGUAAUACGUAGGGUGCAAGCGUUAAUCGGAAUUACUGGGCGUAAAGCGUGCGCAGGCGGUUUUGUAAGACAGAGGUGAAAUCCCCGGGCUCAACCUGGGAACUGCCUUUGUGACUGCAAGGCUUGAGUGCGGCAGAGGGGGAUGGAAUUCCGCGUGUAGCAGUGAAAUGCGUAGAUAUGCGGAGGAACACCGAUGGCGAAGGCAAUCCCCUGGGCCUGCACUGACGCUCAUGCACGAAAGCGUGGGGAGCAAACAGGAUUAGAUACCCUGGUAGUCCACGCCCUAAACCGAUGUCAACUGGUUGUUGGGAAGGUUCCUUCUCAGUAACGUAGCUAACGCGUGAAGUUGACCGCCUGGGGAGUACGGCCGCAAGGUUGAAACUCAAAGG
This 560-nucleotide ribosomal RNA is filed under the name uncultured bacterium. Its description in RNAcentral is "partial 16S ribosomal RNA". It matches the Rfam family "Bacterial small subunit ribosomal RNA", at positions 355 to 907 of the family's 1533-position model. The record is from RNAcentral.